Ostrea edulis (European flat oyster) is the source of this 4284-nucleotide long non-coding RNA. RefSeq lists it as uncharacterized. NCBI's taxonomy places the organism in Eukaryota, Metazoa, Mollusca, Bivalvia, Ostreida, Ostreidae. The record is from RefSeq and is a predicted model, not a curated record. The transcript is spliced from 2 exons.
CCUCUGAAAAUACAGCAGGAUAUCCCAGGAAGUCCCAAGACAAAAUCCCAGGAUUUAUCAGGAUUGUCCUGAAAAGUCCUGCUUUUUUGAAACUGAGAUUGACAAGGAAUUAGAGGGACGGUAUUGGCAGUGGGACAUUUCAGGACUUUUAAGGAUAAUUUCCCCAUUGAAAAUACAGCAGGAUAUCCCAGGAAGUCCCAAGACAAAAUCCCAGGAUUUAUCAGGAUUGUCCUGAAAAGUCCUGCUUUUUUGAAACUGAGAUUGACAAGGAAUUAGAGGGACGGUAUUGGCAGUGGGACAUUUCAGGACUUUUAAGGAUAAUUUGAACACUUAAAUUUGCCUUUUAUUGUCCUGCAAAGUCUCACUUAAUCCUGCAAUCUGAAAGGGGAGAAAGUGGGAUUAUUCUGGACAUGUCUUGGAAAGUCCCAGUAGACAGGACUGGGAUUUUGCAGGAUUUUAUUGGAUCUCCCUAAAAAUCCUGCUUUUUGAGUUGAUGCAAGACUCCUGGAAAGUCCCAAUUUAUCCUACUAACCUGUUUUGGUCUUACCCUACUGUGGAAUAAAACUCGAGAUCCAGGAUAUGUGAUAUCUUUUCUGUAAAAGUGGCAAUUAAGAAUGAAAUUAUGAAUCAAAAUGAUAAUCUGAUAAUAAAAUUUAUUUAACAUACAUAUACAUAAAUUUCAGCAAUACUUAUAUGAACUUCCAAAGCAAGUACUUUGAAAAGUUCAUUUAAAUUAUGGCUGGGGUGAGCUAAAAAGCACUAUUUCUUACGUAAACAAAUAAUUAAACAAGAGGUCCAUGGGCCACAUCGCUCACCUUAGUCAUCUUGGUCCAUAUUUAAAGAUUUCCCAUAUACUUGUAUGUAAAACUUUUGUCCCUAUAAUGUGGCCAAAACCUACCCUUGGGGGCCACGAUUCAGGGUUGUCACUAGAAAAUAUUGAAGACGAGUCCCGGUAUCAUGGUUUGUAAGCAGCUUGAGUCCCAUGAAAAUUUGACGAGUCCCAUGAAAGUUGAAUUAAAGAGUCAUUUAGAUUUUUCCUACACCUUUAUUUAUACCGAGUGAACACAAGCUAAUGUCGUACCUCUGUUCACUUUCAUCUUCAACAAAUGGCAAAAAUCAGUUAAUUUUCGCCAAGCCCAUGCAUAACAGUGCAGUGAUCACUUUGUACACAUGAAAUUAAAAGUAAUCAUUCACGACUCGGUCUCAUACAACUAAUUGCCCAUUGCAAACAGAAUUACUUCCCCGAAUCCUCUAUCAUCGUUACAACCCUAUUCAGUAUUAAACAAAAUUUUAAUUAAAUAAUUAUUGUGAUAAAAUAGAUGCGUACUAAUUUUGUUUGUAAAAUGAUGUAAAAUCUACCAAAGUUUACAAACUACGCUACUUUCAAUUCCAAUAAAAAUGGCUACCGGAAGACAAACAUUUAUAAUUAAAUAUAGAUCCUGAUUUGUAAAAAAAAAGAAAGAAAAAGAAACAUAUAUAAAUAACUGCCUGUGAGUGGCAAAAUGUUUUUUACUUUGUAUCUAAAUUUCAAUAUUAUAUUAUAAUUUGCACCUAAUUGACUGCACUAAACAAACAAGUCGGAUUGGGACACUGUGAACUCGGUGGUAUCAUCUCGGUUCACAUUAGAGCGUAACGUUUUACCUAGAUUUUUUCCUAUGAGUUUUAAUUAAUACACAAAUCAGGGCUUCUAAGUAAAAUUAUGAUUUUUACUCAGAGUCCGAGACACGUCUGCGGGACUCGCCAUAUCAGACAAACCCCAAUGAAAUUUCUGUGAUCCUAUUCUUGCGUUAGUGACAACCCUGUGAAUUUUACAAACUUGAGUCUACACUAUGUCGGGAAGCUUUCAUGUAAAUCUCAGCUUUUCUGGCCAAGUGUUUCUUGAGAAGACAAUUUUCAUAAAGAUUUUCCCUGUAUAUUUGUAAGUAAAACUUUGAUCCCCUAUUGAGACCCAAUCCAACCCCCCCCCCCCCCAGGUCAUUGGUUUUAACAAACUUGAAUCUGUACUGUCAGGAGGCUUUCAUGUAAAUUUCAGCUUCUCUGUCCCAGUGGUUCUUGAGAAGAUUUUUGAAUGACCCCACCGUAUUUUUGCGAUUAUCUCCCCUUUGAAGGGGCAUGGCCCUUCAUUUGAACAAACUUGAAAGCCUUUCACCCAAGGGUGCUUUGUGUCACUUAGUUUGGUUGAAAUUGACCCAGUGGUUCUGGAGAAGAUGAAAAUGUGAAAAGUUUUCGCCGACGACAGACAACGAACAAAUUUUGAUCAGAAAAGCUCACUUGAACCUUCGGCCCAGGUGAGCUAAAAAAAAAAAAUUUAAACAGGUAUUAUCAAAUUGUCCCUGAAGUUGAAUUUUGUUUAUCUUGAUGUCACGGGUAACCUGGAGUGGUUCAAAGAUCUAUUUCUUCGACUCGUGGGUGGGGGAAGGUGGCUCCAGACCUAAACAACUUGAGACGGUCUCUCAUCUUGUUGCGAACUUCUUUGAGGGCCAUCUCUGGAUUUUUCUCUGGUACAGAGGCUUAAAAGAUAGCAUAAUGAAUUAUUUGAGAGGUUGCAUAACAGGUUUUGUAAAUGAACAUCAUGCAAAAUUUAAAAUAUUUAUGUCUUGAACUUGUAUAUAUGCACCUUCUGCAUCGUCUUCCCUUUUAUCUAAGCCAUCUUUGGUCUCACGGGCGUUUUCCUGUCACACUGCAUGAUGUCGGUUCAUCCACUGAAAACAGUGCCUUGUUAAAAGUCACUUGAUGAUAUUCUAAAUUCAUAACUAUCUCUUCAAGUCCAUGCUACAAUGAAAGAGAACAUGUACUAGAUAAAAAUAUUGGAAACAGGAUGAUAAUUUGUUAAGGUGUGACAAUUCCACUAGACUACCAAAAAAGAUGAAUUAUUACAAACCAAAAGUAAAAAUACUAACCAGCAACGCCGUGUAUUUUGAACAACUAGGCCUAUCCCCCAGUUUCUGAGUGUAAGGUGAAUCCUAUAUUCCUACCUGGAAUCCAUUCCAUGCUUGAUUGCAUACUGAUUCUGUUGAAUGUUCUCCAUCCUUGCGAAUAUUUCCCUGACUUCGCGCCCAGAAAGGAACAUUGAAAAAAAAGCGCUUUGAUCACUUGCGUGAACGUCAGGUCGUACACUGACUGACUCGUCCCCAGGUCAACACGUAACCAAAAGACGAUCAGUAAAAAGUUAUACAAUCGACCAGUGGAAACCCAGUGUAUAAGACUUCAUAUAUAUACAUAUGAUAUAUUUUAUACAUGAUAUAUCUUAUAUCGAAUUAGAACGGGGAGAAGAAAAAAACACGACAAGCUUCGUACAUUGUACAAGUUGACCGAAACGACAUCACCGGAAGUUACAACUUUCAAAGAAGUCAUUUAUGAUUUAAAGAUUUGUGAAUGGAAAUCAGUAACAUCGGAAUGAAAAAGGACUACGGUGUAACGGAUGACACUCUGAGAUUGAGAACCCAAAAGGUACAUGCUGUGCAAGAAAGAUGUAAACAUGCGAAUUCCUAAAUGUACUAAAUAUUAAAACAUCAACUGCAAUCUUCAGUGGUGACAUCCAAAAGUUGAUAUGCCAUUGGUACUUCAAGUGAUACGACCGUGACAUUGGAAAAUCCUUUUAACUUAUCAUCACUUGAGCCUGAAUUGCAAUCCUUUUGAUACAGACAUUUUUUUAAGUUCAGUUUCGAACAUUAAUGCCGCUGUGUCAUCUCUGGAAAUGGAAAAGCCUACCACAAAAUCUGAUGAAUUUUUGAACAUUCUUUCACAAAAAGGGAUCUUCUUUAUUUUGAAGAAGGUAGCCCAGGAACUGGAAAUCUGUUAUCAAAAUGAUCUUAAUAAUACACUGGACAAUAUUCUAACCUAAAAAAAAAACAUGACAAACCCGAUUGAACUCCUGUGAUGAAGCAUCUCAAAACUCAAAUUAUGGUAGUCUUUCAAGUGACAUUGAGGAUUUCAAUAGCGCAUUUGACAGUAAAGUGAUUUUUAUUCAAGUUCAGAUUGUUGUCAUUAUAAAUUUAUAAGAAGUGUUCUCAUAGCCAACAUUUUUCAAGUCUACUUUUGAUGAAAUAUAGUCUUUUCUAUUACAACUUAUUAUGACAUGAUUGUUGUUGUAUACAUAAAUGUUCUUAUCCACGAAUCAUUUACUGUUCUUAUAGGUUUAUUUUAGCCUGAACUAUGUAGCAAUGACGUGUCAAGGUAAUCCAGAAAAUGUAAAAUCUUUUCUUUGAUAUGACAAGGAUUUAAUUUUGUAACAAUUAAUAUCUAAAAGUCCUGUAACCCUCAUUAAAGUCCUUUAUAAUCUGA